UAAGUAGGUUGCAAUUACGGUGCUUCAUUUUGGGGAAGUACUGCCAUUAUCUUGCUGAAAGAAAAACUGUGGUAAUCAUUUUUGAUUUUGCCUUUAUGAGAGUAAAAUCAUGACAGAUUGACACGGACAACU
RNAcentral lists this small nucleolar RNA (132 nucleotides) under Propithecus coquereli (Coquerel's sifaka). RNAcentral describes it as "Small nucleolar RNA SNORA69 (ENSPCOG00000010458.1)". It matches the Rfam family "Small nucleolar RNA SNORA69". Rfam says of the family: U69 is a member of the H/ACA class of small nucleolar RNAs (snoRNAs) which act as guides in the the modification of uridines to pseudouridines. The record is from Rfam by way of RNAcentral. Lineage: Eukaryota; Metazoa; Chordata; Mammalia; Primates; Indriidae.